RNAcentral lists this long non-coding RNA (2393 nucleotides) under Volvox carteri. Its description in RNAcentral is "long non-coding RNA (VCAR_LNC002556)". The record is from RNAcentral. Lineage: Eukaryota; Viridiplantae; Chlorophyta; Chlorophyceae; Chlamydomonadales; Volvocaceae.
AUCUCCAACCAAGCCUCGACACUAGGGUUUGGGUAACCGACUCAAUGGAGGGCACCAUCGCUUCCCUAGAUUCUACACUCAGCGGCAACAAAAGACUAGCCGCCUGUCUCCAAUUCGCCGGGAUAUCAGCUAAAAGAGCGACAAUAGCAUCCAUACAUUCCUGCCAUUUACGAUAGGUGCACAGAGAUUUAGCUAGUGUGGUCCGCGGUUGGAGGUAUUGAUCCACUAUUUGAUGCCAAGCCUUGCGUAUUGCUAGGCCUGCCUGGUCCGUUGCAUUCAUAACUCCAUCCAAGGCCUCGCGCGCGCGAAGAACAUCCCCCAACGUAUGCAAUGCUUUACAGCCCAAGAGGGCUUGGUGUCGAAAUUCUAGUCCCGGGCGGAUGUUAUCUGACGGGACAUUAAACCUCUUUUCUGGAAGAACAGGGCUUCCCCACAGAGGCAAAUUCCAACACCAUGCAUUAGGAACUAACGGGUGAUUAUCAGCCAGUGCCAGACCUAUGGAGGAAGGUACGGGCAAACCAAGUCCGUCAAGUAGGCGAUUUCCCCCGCCACGAAACCUUUGGAGCCGGCGUACGCUUGUGAGGUUAGUUUGCUUGGCCGUGCCGUGUAAUAAGGCCUCACAACGUUGUGCGUUUGUUGCUCGUUAAGGCGUUGCGUUGCACACGAGCCGUUUGGGCUCAACUGUGACAUCUACAUCACCCAAGGGAGUGCCGAAGGAGGGCAUUUUUUUACUAGGCAAACUCUGAAAUGGAACGAUUACCGGAGAGCUUCAUCAACCACAAUUUCACAUUACAUGAAAUUAUUGACCCGCGGCAACCACUAACGCGCCUACAGUCCCACACUAAAGAGAAACUGGUUUCCCUUCUUUUUGAUUUCAUGAUACAUGCACUUGACAACGUUUACUGGUAAAUAGGUUCAUUAUGUACUAUUACGGAUGCUGGGACGAGGUCUACGCCUGCGCACUGCGAGAAGGUCGCACCGGGAGCUCAACGGCGCAAAGCAUUUCGCAAAGCUUGCAAAAUGCUGCACGGGGGCCUAAAACUUCGCAAGGGACAAUUUUGAUACCUCGUGCAGAACUUGGGCGUAUCGCAGAAUGGCGGGAUUUUAGUACUGGUUCCGGUGGCAGGGUCAUGCCUUGUUUUUCGCUCUAUCCCUAAACCUAUGUAACGUAUAUCGAGGCGACUGCUUAAUAGCCGCUCUCUAGUUCAACAGGUUAUGAGCGCCGCGCAACGAUAGCAUCGCGGUCUGCCGGAAUCAGCCAACUGCGGGAUUCCAGUUUCUGCUUAAGAGUGUCUCUGGUUAAUUUAAGCCUGGCUGUAGGCGGGGAGGCUAUUUAUAGCCGGAUUUGUGAAAUGGCCGAACAGUCGAAGCCGGCCCCGAACCUGGAGUCGAUCGCCGACUAUGUUUCAUGCGUAUGAAGGCUGAUUGGGUAAAGCUUAACGAGGCCUAACACACACCAAGCACACACGCAUGCAGACAAAUGUUUCGUUUCAAGGGUAUGAAGGCUCGUUGCGUCAAGUUUAGGGUGUAUUUCCAGUGCGGAUUAACGUCGCGGAUUAACCCUCUGUCCUCCAUCGAUACUUGCUCAAACGGCUAAGUUGUUGGCAAACUUACCUCGCCUUUUCAACCUUUGGUUCCCUUAUGGAACGAAACUAUGUGGUAAGCUCGUACCAAGGACUUCCGUGCCCUAAUCCCUGGCCUUAAUCCGCACUGGAAAUGCACCCUUAAUGCCCUAAACCCUAAGCUAACACACACCAAGCACACACGAUUUACCUUUGAUUAAUUGCAUUACAUAACAAUUCACGUGCGAUGUUUUAUGUGUUGGUCGCAUACUCAGUUCGUUAACCUUCACGCAGUCUCAUGAGAGAAUAACAUGCUUGGCAGCACUCAGGGGGGGCCUUCCGCAAUCGAGAUCGCAUCAGGCGCAGCCCUACAUCGCACAACGAUUCAUCAUACCAUCAACUAGAUGCCAGAAAGGCGGCGGGACAUGCCGCAUGCGAACGCGCACGCAAUUAGACCCCCGCCGGCUGUGAGUCAGUUGUGGGGACAUGCCUGGGAGGCUGAAAGGGCUUCCGGACGCAUAAAUCGCAUCAGGAGUCGUCGUACGCCGGACCAGCGAUGCAUCAGACCAUCAGCUAGUUGCCAGGAAGGCGGCGGGGAACGCGGCUUGAUCAGUCACGCUCGCUAGGCAACCACCAUGGGGAAGGGAUGUAAGACAGUCCUCCUCUCGGAUAGGUCGAACUACUCCCAGUGGCUCGGCGACUUAGGCGAUUUCCUCGCAACGUCCAAGUUGAAGAGCUACAUCAACAACCCGUCGCCUCCCGGCUGCAACGCCCAAGACACCCUGGAGGAGGACGCACAGGCGCUCGGCUACCUGCGUCUGUCCUGUGAAC